Molecule: long non-coding RNA, 3912 nt
Organism: Portunus trituberculatus (swimming crab)
Lineage: Eukaryota; Metazoa; Arthropoda; Malacostraca; Decapoda; Portunidae
Exons: 4
Source: RefSeq, a predicted model, not a curated record
UCUGAACUGACAAUCUACGUCUAUAUUUACAUACUACCAUACUAAAACGAUAUUAUCAGAAAGAGUUUAGGGAGGAAAGUAACUCAGACCGUGAGAAGUCCUCGGGGAGCUGUGAUAGAGGUGUCAGUCAGUACAACGAGGCAGCGUGGGAGCACUGGGCCAGUCGGACGAAGAUGACGUGCUGGGGCAGGAGUAAGGUUCAUCUCAGGGGUUUCAGCUCGCGUUUUGCUUUCUCCGAUUUAAGACAAAUGUUAGCUGACAUAUUGGAUGGCUGCCAAGAUCCUCACCUUGCCUUCAAAACUCAACCAUACCACAAACUUCUUCUAGAAGACAAGACAACGUACCAAUAUCUGAAUGGCUGACCUGUCUGGUAUCAGCACCUUUGAAGCACUAGAAUUUAUAGUGCCACAGCCUACACAGCCACAUCCAAAUCCCAAGAACUAGAACCUGCAAGGAUUGAAUGACCGACCUUGAGUAAUCCUUGUUUUGCUGCUGUUGUAUCUGAUGUGCAUCCUCACCCAAGUGUUGAGAGGAGGAAGAGGAGGAAGCUCAGCAUCAAGGAGCUGGACUGGGCAGCCUACCUAAAGGACUACAUAAGGUCCUCCAGAGCCUCUUUCACGAGACAUGGCCUGCCCCGCUAGUCACAAACUGCCUGACAUCUGCUGCUGCGUGGCCUCCAUCCUCAGCUGCAAGGUCACCACAACUUUUGGCACUGUCUUUAGAACUCUUCCCCCAAGUAGACAUCCAGUGUUGAUGGAGUGCUAAACCAGCAACAUACAGCCAAGGUCAUAGGCAUCUCAGUGAAUAACGUCUUCAUGUUCCAUUAGUGACUUCUCCAUCUCAUCCACCUGCCCGGGAGUCAAAUUGGCAGCACUUCUCAUCACGUGCAUAGGUAAUGCAGGACUUGCCCCACUCGUCCCUCCAUCCGCUUGCUCCAGCAGGCUCCAAUCUGCUAUGCUCCUGGCUGUGGCCACCUUGCACUUACUGGCUUUGUCUGCUCCACACCAGCUGUUGUUCACCACUGCCUUGCAUUUUGAAGCUGCUACAAUGACAUUUGCACCUUCGACUUCCUUCACGCUUCAUCAGUGUAGCUCCAGUCCCUCAUCCUCAACAUCUGAACCACCCACAGGGCUCUCAACCUAUUCAGCAGCAUCUUCAAGAAACAGCAUAUGGUUUCACCUUCAUCUUCAUUCUUCUGAGGUCUACACCAGUCCAGCCCCAACAGGCAAGGUUCUUCCAUGUCAUCCACAAUACCUGGUAGCUCUUCCUUGACACCACCCACCACGAUCUCUGAUAUCACAGGGAAACAUAGCAUCAUAUGAUGGCCAGUUACACCACCAUUUUCAAUGCUACUUCACCUCUGUUCUGCCUCAUCUCACUGGUUUCCCAUUUCAUUUUCUGUACCAUUUCACACCUUUCUUGUUUCCAUUCAUGUAUAUUCUGUGUCAACUCAAGUCAUGUUCCCCAUUAUUUUCCAUCCCUGCUCUCUACUUCUUAAGUCUGAAUCAGCCAUGGUGCCACUAGCCAAAACUUCAGUCUUUAUCCCACUCCUAACACUACUGUUACAGUGUGUGCUUUUUAAUCCUGAUCUGCUGACACUAACUGUUACAACUGCCCUUUUGUCCUUGCAGCCUCCACCACAGCCACUGACCAAGAACUCUACCAUUUACCACAGUGGCUGACCGAGAGGCACAGGACGAAGGUGAUAACUCACCUGGAAUCAUAGACAUGGCCUCAUUGGCUGCACAAAGAUGAUGCAGCACAUUUAUAAGUACCUUUCACUUACCAGUUACACUAGACAAUGACUCAGACAGACAUAAAGAGGCAGGGCACAAGUUCUUAGUUUACUGGUACAAAGAAAACUUACAAAGUACAGAUCGUGGCUACAUAACAUAUAGUGCAAUGAUUCUCAAACUGGCAGGAAUUUAGGUCGGCCAUGUGGGCUGUUGGACAGUAUACAUUUCUAAAUAAUGUUAGGAAUCUGAAUUGAAAAAAAAAUGCAUCAUUGUCCUGGCAAAGAAAAUUUUCUUUUUUAAUUAAGUUGACAUUAUAUUCUUUUACAUAUUGUUAUGAAUGUGCAUACAUACGUAUGUAUGUAUGUAUGUGUGCAUAAUUGUAAUUGUUUGUGCAGUGUAGAUAUGAUAAAAAGCGCUGAGGAGAAUAAACGUGUAUGAGGCGAGUGAGAGAAGGGUGAGUCACCAGGACACAGGAGAGAGAUGAUCCACAAUAUGAUAUCACUGUAAGAAUAUAGGUAUAAUUGACUCUGAACCAUACAAUGUGUUAUAUAUUUUGAUCAACAAUUAUAAAUGUGGUUGCUGUUUAUUGUGUGUGAAAUAUUUUUACUGCUCAUUUAUCAGUUUAUUACUUUUUGGUAUCCUUGUUUUUCAUGGUCAUUCCCUACAUAGGUAUUCCUGCUUUUUUUUUUUUUCUAGUGCUAAUAUGGAUGUGACUCACUAUUCUUGUUAUUAUUUCAACUGGGAUAGUGUUUGUCAAAAGAGGCGUGUUCUUGCUGUUAGAAAAUACAUUUCAGCUUGCUUGCUUGUGUGUGAAUGUUUAAAACUUUAUCAUAUUUACUCUCUCUCUUUGUGUAUAUUUAUGUAUGACUGUGUUUGUGCAUAAAAUGUGAUUCCAUGGAUCUGUUAUGUAUGCUGAUAUUUAUGUGUUUGUCAUUUUAUCACUUGUCCUAGUGUUCUGUCCAUUAUCAUUCUUUUGUCUUCAUACUGACAUACUCAAUGUUCUUCUGCUGUCCUGUCUUCUUUAUUUUCAAUACAUUUGCAAUGGUUACUAGUAUUACUAACAAGCAGAAGUACAGUGAAGAGUACAUUAACUACGGAUUUACAUCACUCCUCACUGAUGGCAUCAAGAAACCUCAGUGUGUACUGUGCUUUAAAGUGCUGGGGAAUGAUUCAAUGAGGCCUAGUAAGUUGAAGCACCAUUUGCAGACCAUCCAUGCACAUUAUGCUGAGAAAGACACCAAUUUUUUCAGGCGCCACAAAAGUAGUUUGGGAAAACAGAAACUGGAUGAGACCAGUGCUUUCCAACAACAGACCUCAAGUGUAGUUGAGGCAUCAUACGAGGUUGCCCUUGACAUAGUAAAGAAAAGAAGCUCCACACAAUUGGUGAAACCUUAAUCAAGCUUUGUACUUUAAAGAUGGUCAAGUGUGUUCUUGGAGAUGCAAGUGAACGUGAAAUUUCCUUGUCAAACGACACAGUGAAGUGGAGACUUAAUGAAAUGUCAGAUGACAUAAAGGCAAAAGUGAUACAUGAGAUCAAAUCAUCUCAAACUGGUAUGUUUGCAAUACAGCUGGAUGAGUCAACGGAUGUUCGUUAGAUAUGUUUUCUUGUGUGGUAUCAAGGAAGAAUAUCUGUUAUGUAAACAGCUUGAGACCACCUCAACAGCUGAAGGUGUGAUGGAAAAGCUAUAUUCUUUCUUCAAGGCUAACAGGAUCCCCUGAGAAAAUUGUUGUGGAGUCUGUACAGACGGGGCUCCAGCAAUGCUGGGAUAAAAAUUUGGUUUUCAGAAGUGUGUCAAGGAAGUAGCUCUGAAUGCCAAGGGGGUUUAUUGUAUGAUCCAUUGUCUUGCACCCUCCCUGAUGAAGCUCGAGCUCUAAACUCUCACCUUUUCUAGAAACUUUGUACUGUAUUACACACCAGCAGUAAACUGAAGGAGUUGUGCCAAGUGUUUCAUGUAUCCUGCCUCUCUGAGUAAGUCUGCCUGAGUCUGGUGAGUAGGGGUGGGCACUUAACGACUCCGGAGUCGACUCCGCUGACUCCAAGUCCAAGGGCCUGGAGUCGACUCCACGCCUUAACGACUCCAGUCACAACAGCAUGUAAAAGUGUAUACUGCUUGAGCCUUGAGGUGACAAUAUCACUUUUAUUUUGACAAAACUGACGAGAAUGUAUAUAACUUUG